GUUAUUGGACCGAUACGAGCUUGAAUGAUACUUGAGAAAAGUUUCUCCCACCUAAGGAUGUAAGCAAUACUUGUGUUAUUUUAUGCUUAUAUACUUAUUUGAUAUUUUAUCUUGAAAGGUAACCAAAUGGGAAGAUAAGCCCAUUCCAAAAGAAUGGCUUGUAUGUAUCCAUGAAUUAUUAAUGCAAAUUUUACAGAUUGUAAGUUGGAUACAUUGAUAAUACACUGCACAUAUUAAAGCCCCAUAAGAACAGAAUAUGGGUAUAGCAGUGAUCAAUAUGAUGCACGCCUGUUGCGUAGCAAAUAAUGUGGAUUGAAGUCCCGAAAGGACAAUCCUUUGACAUGUCAAUAUUGAUAUUAUGCACGCCUAAUGCGUAGCAAAUUAUAUGGGUUAAAGUCCCAUAAUAUGGGUUAAAGUCCCAGAAAUUAAUUGACA
RNAcentral lists this long non-coding RNA (435 nucleotides) under Prunus persica (peach). RNAcentral's name for it is "long non-coding RNA (PPER_LNC004367)". Lineage: Eukaryota; Viridiplantae; Streptophyta; Magnoliopsida; Rosales; Rosaceae. The record is from RNAcentral.